This 224-nucleotide ribosomal RNA is filed under the name uncultured bacterium. RNAcentral's name for it is "partial 16S ribosomal RNA". It matches the Rfam family "Bacterial small subunit ribosomal RNA", at positions 15 to 266 of the family's 1533-position model. The record is from RNAcentral.
GAUCAUGGCUCAGAAUGAACGCUGGCGGCAUGCCUAACACAUGCAAGUCGAACGAAGGCUUCGGCCUUAGUGGCGCACGGGUGCGUAACGCGUGGGAAUCUGCCCUCAGGUUCGGAAUAACAGCGAGAAAUUUGCUGCUAAUACCGGAUGAUAUCGCGAGAUCAAAGAUUUAUCGCCUGAGGAUGUGCCCGCGUAGGAUUAGCUAGUUGGUGUGGUAAAGGCGC